UGGGGAAUUUUGGACAAUGGGCGAAAGCCUGAUCCAGCAAUGCCGCGUGUGUGAAGAAGGCCUUCGGGUUGUAAAGCACUUUUGUCCGGAAAGAAAUCCUUGGGCUCUAAUACAGUCGGGGGAUGACGGUACCGGAAGAAUAAGCACCGGCUAACUACGUGCCAGCAGCCGCGGUAAUACGUAGGGUGCAAGCGUUAAUCGGAAUUACUGGGCGUAAAGCGUGCGCAGGCGGUUUGCUAAGACCGAUGUGAAAUCCCCGGGCUCAACCUGGGAACUGCAUUGGUGACUGGCAGGCUAGAGUAUGGCAGAGGGGGGUAGAAUUCCACGUGUAGCAGUGAAAUGCGUAGAGAUGUGGAGGAAUACCGAUGGCGAAGGCAGCCCCCUGGGCCAAUACUGACGCUCAUGCACGAAAGCGUGGGGAGCAAACAGGAUUAGAUACCCUGGUAGUCCACGCCCUAAACGAUGUCAACUAGUUGUUGGGGAUUCAUUUCCUUAGUAACGUAGCUAACGCGUGAAGUUGACCGCCUGGGGAGUACGGUCGCAAGAUUAAAACUCAAAGGAAUUGAC
RNAcentral lists this ribosomal RNA (567 nucleotides) under uncultured bacterium. Its description in RNAcentral is "partial 16S ribosomal RNA". It matches the Rfam family "Bacterial small subunit ribosomal RNA", at positions 355 to 914 of the family's 1533-position model. The record is from RNAcentral.